RNAcentral lists this ribosomal RNA (241 nucleotides) under uncultured Staphylococcus sp. RNAcentral's name for it is "partial 16S ribosomal RNA". It matches the Rfam family "Bacterial small subunit ribosomal RNA", at positions 99 to 334 of the family's 1533-position model. Lineage: Bacteria; Bacillati; Bacillota; Bacilli; Caryophanales; Staphylococcaceae. The record is from RNAcentral.
CGGACGGGCGAGUAACACGUGGAUAACCUACCUAUAAGACUGGGAUAACUUCGGGAAACCGGAGCUAAUACCGGAUAAUAUAUUGAACCGCAUGGUUCAAUAGUGAAAGACGGUUUUGCUGUCACUUAUAGAUGGAUCCGCGCCGCAUUAGCUAGUUGGUAAGGUAACGGCUUACCAAGGCAACGAUGCGUAGCCGACCUGAGAGGGUGAUCGGCCACACUGGAACUGAGACACGGUCCAG